This 77-nucleotide transfer RNA is filed under the name Candidatus Peregrinibacteria bacterium. Its description in RNAcentral is "tRNA-Arg". It matches the Rfam family "tRNA". Rfam says of the family: Transfer RNA (tRNA) molecules are approximately 80 nucleotides in length. Their secondary structure includes four short double-helical elements and three loops (D, anti-codon, and T loops). Further hydrogen bonds mediate the characteristic L-shaped molecular structure. tRNAs have two regions of fundamental functional importance: the anti-codon, which is responsible for specific mRNA codon recognition, and the 3' end, to which the tRNAs corresponding amino acid is attached (by aminoacyl-tRNA synthetases). tRNAs cope with the degeneracy of the genetic code in two manners: having more than one tRNA (with a specific anti-codon) for a particular amino acid; and 'wobble' base-pairing, i.e. permitting non-standard base-pairing at the 3rd anti-codon position. The record is from RNAcentral. Lineage: Bacteria; Candidatus Peregrinibacteriota.
GCACCCGUAGCUCAACUGGAUAGAGCGCUGGUCUUCGGAACCAGAGGCUGAAAGUUCAAAUCUUUCCGGGUGUACCA